This 495-nucleotide ribosomal RNA is filed under the name uncultured bacterium. RNAcentral's name for it is "partial 16S ribosomal RNA". It matches the Rfam family "Bacterial small subunit ribosomal RNA", at positions 28 to 507 of the family's 1533-position model. The record is from RNAcentral.
GAUGAACGCUGGCGGCGUGCCUAAUACAUGCAAGUCGAGCGAACAGACGAGGAGCUUGCUCCUCUGACGUUAGCGGCGGACGGGUGAGUAACACGUGGAUAACCUACCUAAGACUGAGAUAACUUCGGGAAACCGGAGCUAAUACCGGAUAAUAUAUUGAACCGCAUGGUUCAAUAGUGAAAGACGGUUUUGUUGUCACUUAUAGAUGGAUCCGCGCCGCAUUAGCUAGUUGGUAAGGUAACGGCUUACCAAGGCGACGAUGCGUAGCCGACCUGAGAGGGUGAUCGGCCACACUGGAACUGAGACACGGUCCAGACUCCUACGGGAGGCAGCAGUAGGGAAUCUUCCGCAAUGGGCGAAAGCCUGACGGAGCAACGCCGCGUGAGUGAUGAAGGUCUUCGGAUCGUAAAACUCUGUUAUUAGGGAAGAACAAAUGUGUAAGUAACUAUGCACGUCUUGACGGUACCUAAUCAGAAAGCCACGGCUAACUACGUG